AAAUAUUUAGCUCAGUUGGUUAGAGACAGGGAUUUAUAAUCCCAGUGUCCCUGGUUCGAGCCCAGGUGGGACCA
Molecule: non-coding RNA, 74 nt
Organism: Corchorus olitorius
Lineage: Eukaryota; Viridiplantae; Streptophyta; Magnoliopsida; Malvales; Malvaceae
Source: the annotation of a GenBank genome assembly